Molecule: ribosomal RNA, 196 nt
Filed under: uncultured bacterium
Lineage: Bacteria
Description: partial 16S ribosomal RNA
Rfam family: Bacterial small subunit ribosomal RNA
Source: RNAcentral
GGCUGAAAUUCGCCUUCAUGAAGCUGGAAUUGCUGUAAUGGCAGGUCAGCAUACUGCCGUGAAUACGUUCCCGGGCCUUGUACACACCGCCCGUCACACCAUGAGAGUUGGAAAUACCCGAAGCCUGUGAGCUAACUUAAAGAGGCAGCAGUCGAAGGUAGAGCCAAUGAUUGGGGUGAAGUCGUAACAAGGUAGC